Molecule: ribosomal RNA, 385 nt
Filed under: uncultured bacterium
Lineage: Bacteria
Description: bacterial SSU rRNA
Rfam family: Bacterial small subunit ribosomal RNA
Source: RNAcentral
AUUGAACGCUGGCGGUAUGCCUUACACAUGCAAGUCGAACGGUAGAGGAGCAAUCCUCGAGAGUGGCGAACGGGUGAGUAAUACAUCGGAACGUGCCCAGUCGUGGGGGAUAACGUAGCGAAAGCUACGCUAAUACCGCAUACGACCUGAGGGUGAAAGCGGGGGACCGUAAGGCCUCGCGCGAUUGGAGCGGCCGAUGGCAGAUUAGGUAGUUGGUGGGGUAAAGGCCCACCAAGCCUGCGAUCUGUAGCUGGUCUGAGAGGACGACCAGCCACACUGGGACUGAGACACGGCCCAGACUCCUACGGGAGGCAGCAGUGGGGAAUUUUGGACAAUGGGCGAAAGCCUGAUCCAGCCAUACCGCGUGCGGGAAGAAGGCCUUCGG